UCAAGUGAGAGGUCUAAUUCUCAAGACAAUUCUAGUGGCAGUUUUGGCUCUAAAGGUGAAGAAGAUGCUACCUCCUCAGACUAAGUUGUGGUGUUGAUGGUCCCCAUAUUAUAAUGAUGUGUGUUCUGGAUGUUGCUUGGAUGCUUGGAUGAUUUGAUGUUUUUCUGUUUGAUGUUUGUAGUUUUUUUUUUGAAGUCCUUUUUGAUGCCAUGAUGUAAUAUUUGGGCUCUUUAUGAGUUCUCUGGAUUUCUGAUUAUCUCAACUCAUGUAG
RNAcentral lists this long non-coding RNA (271 nucleotides) under Lathyrus oleraceus (garden pea). Its description in RNAcentral is "Pisum sativum (pea) long non-coding RNA (PSAT_LNC006094)". The record is from RNAcentral. Lineage: Eukaryota; Viridiplantae; Streptophyta; Magnoliopsida; Fabales; Fabaceae.